GACGAACGCUGGCGGCGUGCUUAACACAUGCAAGUCGAACGGAAAGGCCCUGCUUUUGUGGGGUGCUCGAGUGGCGAACGGGUGAGUAACACGUGAGUAACCUGCCCUUGACUUUGGGAUAACUUCAGGAAACUGGGGCUAAUACCGGAUAGGAGCUCCUGCUGCAUGGUGGGGGUUGGAAAGUUUCGGCGGUUGGGGAUGGACUCGCGGCUUAUCAGCUUGUUGGUGGGGUAGUGGCUUACCAAGGCUUUGACGGGUAGCCGGCCUGAGAGGGUGACCGGCCACAUGGGGAAUGAGAUACGGCCCAGACUCCUACGGGAGGGAGGAGUGGGGAAUAUUGCACAAGGGGCGGAAGCCUGAUGCAGCAACGCCGCGUGCGGGAUGACGGCCUUCGGGUUGUAAACCGCUUUCGCCUGUGACGAAGCGUGAGUGACGGGAAUGGGGAAAGAAGCACCGGCUAACUACGU
This 467-nucleotide ribosomal RNA is filed under the name uncultured bacterium. RNAcentral's name for it is "partial 16S ribosomal RNA". It matches the Rfam family "Bacterial small subunit ribosomal RNA", at positions 28 to 506 of the family's 1533-position model. The record is from RNAcentral.